GGAGCUAACGCGUUAAGUAGACCGCCUGGGGAGUACGGUCGCAAGAUUAAAACUCAAAUGAAUUGACGGGGGCCCGCACAAGCGGUGGAGCAUGUGGUUUAAUUCGAUGCAACGCGAAGAACCUUACCUACUCUUGACAUCUACAGAAGCCAGCGGAGACGCAGGUGUGCCUUCGGGAACUGUAAGACAGGUGCUGCAUGGCUGUCGUCAGCUCGUGUUGUGAAAUGUUGGGUUAAGUCCCGCAACGAGCGCAACCCUUAUCCUUGUUUGCCAGCACUUCGGGUGGGAACUCCAGGGAGACUGCCGGUGAUAAACCGGAGGAAGGUGGGGACGACGUCAAGUCAUCAUGGCCCUUACGAGUAGGGCUACACACGUGCUACAAUGGCGCAUACAGAGGGCGGCCAACUUGCGAGAGUGAGCGAAUCCCAAAAAGUGCGUCGUAGUCCGGAUUGGAGUCUGCAACUCGACUCCAUGAAGUCGGAAUCGCUAGUAAUCGUGGAUCAGAAUGCCACGGUGAAUACGUUCCCGGGCCUUGUACACACCGCCCGUCACACCAUGGGAGUGGGCUGCAAAAGAAGUGGGUAG
This 585-nucleotide ribosomal RNA is filed under the name Vibrio sp. PID18_2. RNAcentral describes it as "bacterial SSU rRNA". It matches the Rfam family "Bacterial small subunit ribosomal RNA", at positions 848 to 1433 of the family's 1533-position model. The record is from RNAcentral. Lineage: Bacteria; Pseudomonadati; Pseudomonadota; Gammaproteobacteria; Vibrionales; Vibrionaceae.